Molecule: transfer RNA, 84 nt
Filed under: archaeon
Lineage: Archaea
Description: tRNA-Leu
Rfam family: tRNA
About the family: Transfer RNA (tRNA) molecules are approximately 80 nucleotides in length. Their secondary structure includes four short double-helical elements and three loops (D, anti-codon, and T loops).
Source: RNAcentral
GCAGGGGUAGGAAAGCGGCCAAAUCUGCUGGCCUAAGGAGCCAGUCCCUUAGUGGGUUCGAGAGUUCGAAUCUCUCUCCCUGCA